This 2361-nucleotide small RNA is filed under the name Arabidopsis thaliana (thale cress). RNAcentral's name for it is "ATSL040590". The stretch from base 664 to 770 matches the Rfam family "Plant small nucleolar RNA R71". The record is from RNAcentral. Lineage: Eukaryota; Viridiplantae; Streptophyta; Magnoliopsida; Brassicales; Brassicaceae.
AUUUCCAUUGAGCUAGAUGCUUGUCCUUGUAGCAGUUGUUGUACCAUCUGUUUCAUUUCAGCAUCAGGAGCAGCAGGACCUUGGUUUUGCUGAGGUGCAAACCCAGGUGGUGGUGGCGGCUGGUAGUUCCCCUGGAAUAGCUGCUUGGGAACGAAACCUUGGUUGUAGGGAACAAAAGGUUUGUUCUGACCUUGUUCUUGCUGUGGAGGAUACACUUGAUCCUGAGGAUUAGCGAUGUUGGUGUUGCGGUAGAAGAGGUUGGGGUUGUUGGUUUUGAAGUUGUUGUAUCCUUUGUAGCCACCCUAGUUGUUGUUGAUGUUGCUGACUGCUUCCAACUGGUUACCCUCCCCAUCUUGGACUUGAAACUGCUCGUCAUCAACAAGGAAGUGCACAAGCUUCUGCUGGCUAAGAAGAAUCUUGUCCAGCUUGUCAUUCAGCGCUUUGAUCUCCUUCGUGUGUUUGUCAUCAGAGUCAACUGUGCCUCUGACGGUCCUAUCACAGUUCUCGUUGUAAUUGCCAUCUGAUUGAGCAAGGUUCUCAACCAAUUCCCAGUCUUCUUCAACAUCUUUUUUCUGGAUAUUUCCAUUGCUGGCGGUACCCAGAAGCAUUCUGAUGCGUGGUAGGACUCCUCUGUAAAGAGUGCUGAGCAGAGAGGCUUUAGUAAAGCCAUGAUGAGGGCAUUGGUUGGUGUAACCCUUGAAACGCUCUCAUGCUUCACAAAAGCUUUCACCAGCCUUCUGUAAAAAGCCAGAGAUCUCAUUUCUGAGUCUUGCAGUUCUGGCAUUGGAGAAGACUUUGAUAGAAAAGCCUUCUUGCAAUCAUCCCAGGUGGUGAUUGAAUCAUGGGGCAGAUUCUUCUCCCAUAUUUGUGCUUUGUCGCCCAAGGAGAGUGGAAACAAACGAAGCUUGAAUCCGUCUUCACUGACACCAUUGAUCUUUGUUAGGUUGUAGAGCCUAUCGAAUUCAUCAAGGUGGUCGAGUGGAUCCUCCAUUGGCAGACCAUGGAAUUUGUUCCCCUGAAUCAUCGAGAUGAGACCACUCUUAAUCUCGAAGUUGUUGUUCUGGAUAGCAGGAGGUGCAAUUCCUUUUCUCUAACGGUGAUCACGUGGUGCAUCUCCAGAACCAAUGUUGGCAGGGCCAUUUUGUUGAUUCUGUUCGUCAGUCAUAUCGAGUGGUUGAUGAGGUACAAGGUUCACUGUGUUUCUCCUUUCUCUGAGUUCGCGAGCUAUGCGGUCAAUGUUGUCGUUGAAAAGGAGGUUCUGAUUGCCUGUUGAUUGAGUUCGCAUACAGCAGAGGUGUACAUGGAUCAAGAAGACAACAAGAAAAACACACAGUUAGCAACCAGAUUGAAAAUUGAAAAAGAACUUGAUCUAAGCAAGUCUGAAAUCUCAAAUGUAACAAACAAACACCCAAUUGGCAACGGCGCCAAAGUGAUAACAGGUUUUUUAGUCAAUUAAUCCUAAAGCACUAUCAUGUCGUUGUAGUAUUUUAGGUUGUCAAUCCAAAUGGGUGUGAUCCUAACAAUCAAGAUGUGAUCAGAAGUCACUAAGUCAAGCCAAGUAAUAACAGGUUUUGGUGUGUUCUAGCAGUCCUAAGUGAACAUGCAGAAAACAGAAAAUCAAGCAGAAACAAUAAAACACUCGAGCAACACAGCUCUUUGCGGAGCAUUGGGUGAGGUCGAGUGACAAGUCGAGUAGCAGACAGAAAACAAAACACAUGGAUACUCGACCGCAUAGUCUGUUGCCAGACAACUGGGUGGUCGAGUAUAAGGGCGAGUAACAAAAAAAAGAAUUGCAGAAACUAAGCAGUAGAUGACAAGAUGCAGUAAACAACAGUAGAGUAAACAAAGAAUUCAAUCAGAUAAAGAAUUUCCGAGGAUGGGGUAAUUGAGUAGUUUCGCUUCCUCAGUUUACAGGUGAUUGACAUGCUCAAUAAAUUAACCCUCGACAACAAGUUCAUUAACCAAAUCUAAGUGCCACCGCAACAGAGACCCUCAAGUUAACCUAGUCCUAGACUCAAUCACCAUUGACGAGAGCUAACCUAACAGGCAUUACGAAUCAACAUGUUAAAGCCAAAACGCUCCCUGCAACCAAUACCUUUGUACAGGGCCACGAAUCUCUGGAAUUAGUGGUUCAGAAAGCAAUAGGCAUUAAGAACAACUAAUCCAGAAGGGAUCUAUCAAUCAAUACUUAACCACCUAGCAUACUGAGAAUUCUACACUACUCUAACCCAUCCUCAGAAACCUAUUCACUACUCAGACAUCAUUGUAGAGAACAUAAACGUUGAACAGGAUGAAAACAUGAUAACAACAAUGUAAUAGCAAAAUGAUAACAGGAUGAACAACAGUAAACGAAAUCAAAAA